Phenylobacterium sp. is the source of this 407-nucleotide non-coding RNA. Lineage: Bacteria; Pseudomonadati; Pseudomonadota; Alphaproteobacteria; Caulobacterales; Caulobacteraceae. The record is from Rfam.
UCAGACGGCCGGGCGGUCGCGGCCUCUCAACGCAAGUUGGUGGGUCGAGGAAAGUCCGGGCUCCACGACGACAUGGCGGCGGGUAACGCCCGCCGGGGGCGACCCCAGGGAUAGCGCCACAGAGAGCAAACCGCCGGCGCUUCGGCGCCGGUAAGGGUGAAAGGGUGCGGUAAGAGCGCACCGGGCCGCUGGUAACAGAGGUCGCAUGGCAAGCCCCGCCAGGAGCAAGACCGAAUAGGGAUCCCGCGCCCGGCCAAGUCCGCAAGGAUACUGGCGGGUAGGAGCGUUGCCGCUCCGAGGGGUCCGGGUAGGUCGCGAGAACCGCUCCGCGAGGAGCGGUCCAGAGGAAUGACCGCCGCGUCCCGCAAGGGGCGGCACAGAACCCGGCUUAUAGGCCGUCUGAUCCG